This 91-nucleotide transfer RNA is filed under the name Microbispora rosea subsp. rosea. Its description in RNAcentral is "tRNA-OTHER". Lineage: Bacteria; Bacillati; Actinomycetota; Actinomycetes; Streptosporangiales; Streptosporangiaceae. The record is from RNAcentral.
GGCAGCUAGUUCUGGGGCGGAACAAGUGCGGCCGACGCCUGUAAAACCGUCGGCUCAGCCUAGGCAGGUUCGAACCCUGGACCUGCCACCA